Molecule: ribosomal RNA, 233 nt
Filed under: uncultured bacterium
Lineage: Bacteria
Description: partial 16S ribosomal RNA
Rfam family: Bacterial small subunit ribosomal RNA
Source: RNAcentral
CGGAACGGGUGAGUAAUACAUCGGAACGUGCCCAUUAGUGGGGGAUAACCCGGCGAAAGCCGGACUAAUACCGCAUACGACCUACGGGUGAAAGCAGGGGAUCGCAAGACCUUGCGCUAUUGGAGCGGCCGAUGGCAGAUUAGCUAGUUGGUGGGGUAAAAGCCUACCAAGGCUACGAUCUGUAGCUGGUCUGAGAGGACGACCAGCCGCACUGGAACUGAGACACGGCCCAG